AUUUUAAAUAAUAACCCUUUUGCAAAAUUCAUCUUACACGGUGUUGUUACGGUACAGUGUUUGUUCUCCAAUUACCAUUCUAUGCUAAAACAUAUAAAUCGGUGAGAUUUCUGUUUGUUUAUGUAUAUUUAUUUUCAAUAAUUGGCAAAGCGCCAUGUUCCGAGAGAGAGCUAAACGGGUUUUACUGUCUUCGGCCGAAGAGACCAUUGAGAAGAUUAAGAAAGCCGUAGAUGAAGGCAAUUACUAUGGGGCUCAACAGAUGUACAAAUCUUUCAGUGCGAGAUAUAUUGCCGCCGAGAGGUAUUUGGACACCUUGAAUAUUCUGCAAUCUGGCGCCUGCUUGCAAUUAGAAAAUGGACAGGUUACGUGUGGGGCUGAGCUUGCUGUCCUGUUUGUAGAAGCACUUGUUAAAGGAAAAUUUCCUUAUGAUGAUGAUACUGUUGAUCGUAUCAGGAAAAUCUACAAAAAGUUUCCUCGCAUGCCAGUGCCACAACAUCUGGACCUGGGUGAUGAUGAUGACAUACAACGACUCCAAGAAGCUCUUGGAGCUGCAAAAAUGCGUGUAGAGGGUUGCUCAUCUUUUUUGAAGGCUGCUAUUAAGUGGUCUAUUGAAUAUGGAGCACAUAGGAAUGGAUCUCCUGAACUACAUGAUAUGCUGGCUGAUUAUAUAUAUUCGGAGUCUCCUGAGGUGGAGAUGACCAGAGUGUCAUAUCAUUUUGUUCGAGGGAAGAAUCCGAAGAAGUUUGCUUCAACUCUAGUGAAUUUCAUGGGCAAGUGUUACCCAGGUGAAGAUGAUUUGGCCAUUGCGCGGGCAGUUUUGAUGUACUUAUCUCUUGGCAAUCUGAGAGAUGCUAAUAUCCUUAUGGAUGAAGUGAAGAAGCAAGUUCAAUCUGGAGAAAUUGAUUUUCCUCGAACAGAAUUGAUGCAGCUGACUAAUUAUUUGCUACAGACGUUGCAGAGAGAUGCUUUGCCUCUUUUUAACAUGUUGAGACAGAGAUACAAGUCCACUAUAGACAGAGAACCUGUAUUUAAUGAGGUAUGGACUUUCUCUUCCUACACGGUAUUCCACAUUGUAUGUUUUUGGACUGUACAGUUGAAAGUGCUCUUCUUGUCCUUUUCUCUCUUGCUCGAGGAUAACUCGAUCUUUUGUGGAUAAGUGCCUUUCUUGAUUGCUAAAUAAAUAUUUAUGUUAAUGCCCUCCCUCGUGGUUUAGUUCCUAGAUGAAAUUGCAGAAAAGUUUUAUGGAGUCCAGCGUAGAAAUCCCAUGCAAGGAAUGUUUGGUGAUAUUUUCAAGAUGAUGGCAGGAUAAAAGAUCUUUUAGUCAACCAGGUUGUUGCCAGAUUUCCUGCAUUGAUAAAAUCUCUCGCCUUUGUUGUUAAAAUUUGUGUUUUAAGCUUUGAACCAGGUUACAUUAUAUCAAUAUUUGAUUUUUCUCGACUUCAUAAAUUAUGUACGCUCUUCAGUCUUUUAGAUAACAUAUGUUUUGAAGGGCAUAUCUAUUCUUCCAAGAAACUUUUGAACGAUAAGUGGAAUUUUCUAAGUUUUGUAAUCGAAGUUUGGUGUAUUUUUCA
Molecule: RNA transcript, 1571 nt
Organism: Olea europaea var. sylvestris
Lineage: Eukaryota; Viridiplantae; Streptophyta; Magnoliopsida; Lamiales; Oleaceae
Gene name: Golgi to ER traffic protein 4 homolog
Exons: 11
Source: RefSeq, a predicted model, not a curated record